Molecule: ribosomal RNA, 120 nt
Organism: Nomascus leucogenys (northern white-cheeked gibbon)
Lineage: Eukaryota; Metazoa; Chordata; Mammalia; Primates; Hylobatidae
Source: Ensembl
GUCUAUGGCCAUACCACCCUGAACGUGCCCUAUCUCGUCUGAUCUCUGGAAGCUAAGCAGGGUCAGGCCUGGUUAGUACUUGGAUGGGAGACCACCUGGGAAUACCAGGUGCUGUAGGCU